Podarcis lilfordi (Lilford's wall lizard) is the source of this 83-nucleotide non-coding RNA. NCBI's taxonomy places the organism in Eukaryota, Metazoa, Chordata, Lepidosauria, Squamata, Lacertidae. The record is from the annotation of a GenBank genome assembly.
CCUGGGAUAGCUCAGUCAGUAGAGCACGAGACUCUUAAUCUCAGGGUUGCAGGUUCGGGCAAAAAGGUCCCUGCAUUGCAGAG